GGCUAGAUUGCAGAGCGGUUAUGCGAAAGAUUGCAAAUCUUUUUUACAUGGGUUCGAAUCCCAUUCUAGCUU
RNAcentral lists this transfer RNA (72 nucleotides) under Polyopes polyideoides. RNAcentral describes it as "tRNA-Cys". It matches the Rfam family "tRNA". Rfam says of the family: Transfer RNA (tRNA) molecules are approximately 80 nucleotides in length. RNAcentral also lists the same sequence under 1 other name. Lineage: Eukaryota; Rhodophyta; Florideophyceae; Halymeniales; Halymeniaceae. The record is from RNAcentral.